RNAcentral lists this ribosomal RNA (500 nucleotides) under uncultured bacterium. RNAcentral describes it as "partial 16S ribosomal RNA". It matches the Rfam family "Bacterial small subunit ribosomal RNA", at positions 29 to 523 of the family's 1533-position model. The record is from RNAcentral.
AUUGAACGCUGGCGGCAUGCCUUACACAUGCAGGUCGAACGGCAGCGCGGGCUUCGGCCUGGCGGCGAGUGGCGGACGGGUGAGUAAUGCAUCGGAACGUGCCCAGGAGUGGGGGAUAACGUAGCGAAAGUUACGCUAAUACCGCAUACGUCCUGAGGUAGAAAGGGGGGGAUCGAAAGACCUCGCGCCCAUGGAGCGGCCGAUGUCGGAGUAGCGAGUUGGCGGGGUAAAAGCCCACCAAGGCGACGAUCCGUAGCUGGUCUGAGAGGACGGACAGCCACACUGGGACUGAGACACGGCCCAGACUCCUACGGGAGGCAGCAGUGGGGAAUCUUGGACAAUGGGGGAAACCCUGAUCCAGCAAUGCCGCGUGUGGGAUGAAGGCCCUCGGGUUGUAAACCACUUUUGGCAGGAAAGAAAUCGCCUGUGCUAAUACCACGGGCGGAUGACGGUACCUGCAGAAUAAGCACCGGCUAACUACGUGCCAGCCGCCGCCGUAA